GGCUACUGCUAUUGGGAUUCGAGUAAGCCAUGCGAGUCAAGGUGUAUUCGGACGCCGGCGUACGGCUCAGUAACACGUAGGUAACCUACCCUCAGGACUGAGAUAACCCCGGGAAACUGGGGCUAAUAUUAGAUAGAUAAAAGGUACUGGAAUGUUCUUUUAUCCAAAGCUUUUGCGCCUGAGGAUGGGCCUGCGUCCGAUUAGGUUGUUGGUGGGGUAAUGGCCCACCAAGCCUGCGAUCGGUACGGGCAGUGAGAGCUGAAGCCCGGAGUUGGGGACUGAGACAAGGCCCCAGGCCCUACGGGGCGCAGCAGGCGCGAAACCUCUGCAAUGCGGGAAACCGUGACAGGGGGAUCCCAAGUGCUCAUGCAUUGCAUGGGCUGUUCUUUGGUCUAAGUAACCAGAGGAGUAAGGGCUGGGCAAGACCGGUGC
RNAcentral lists this ribosomal RNA (432 nucleotides) under uncultured archaeon. Its description in RNAcentral is "bacterial SSU rRNA". It matches the Rfam family "Archaeal small subunit ribosomal RNA", at positions 22 to 458 of the family's 1478-position model. The record is from RNAcentral.